AGGCAUUGACACAGCUCUCCAAGUUAGUUGAGUCCAGAGUUAGUACAGGCAGAUCCAGAACUUGAAACAUCAGUUCUUUCAGUUUGAGGCUGUGGAUGGCAGCACCUUGGGCCUUUCAUAAAUCUAGGAGCAUUCUACCUAUGUGGGAUUUCACUUGCUGCAACAUUGGAAUUUUGGGUCAAAUUAAGAGGUAGAGAACUUUGGAUUGGUAUGACCAUCUUUUUUAAGUUCAAACAGCAUCCUCCCCCUCUCCCUGUAACUCAUAUUUGUCAAUUUGCACCAGGUUCUAUUUUUUUUCUAAUCUUGUAGCUGAUGAAGUCUCUAGGUUAAUUUUAAUUUUGUUGUUUGGAUUUUGUUCGCAUUUAAUUUUUUUUCAUGUGCUUUGAUGUGAGAAUGCAGAUAGUAAUUUGGGUUUUACUAAAAUUUGAUUAAUAGUAUCAUAACAAGUUGGGGUUGGGGUUGAGUUCCCAUUAGAUAUAAGUUACAUAACUCUACCAUGUGAAGUGCUACUUCAUAAAUCAUAAUCAUUCUUAAGCUUAUUAUGCUGUAUAUAUCUGAUUCAUGUGCAAAAAAGUAGCUUAACUGUCCAUUCAUACCUCAAUUAUAUUCAAUUGCAUGUCAUUAUUCCAUUAUAUCUUUUCUAUUAUUCAAAGGUAAUAAAUCAUAGAACUGUACAAUAAUGUAAAAACAUGAAUUAUGCAGAGUACCUGGUGAUACGUUUUUUAUUUUAUUAGGUGAAAAAUUAACUUCUUAUCAUGAUUAAUUUUAAUAAUAUUUCAGAUAUAUAUUUCUUUAUUGCUGGCUUUUUUAUUUUUUUUUUCCCUAAAUUUUUUGUAUACUGGAUAUGGAAGGGAGCCUUGGAGCAAUGCUUUAAGUUUCUCCAAAUCAUUUCUAGGUCACAGGCUCAAGCUGUGUAAUUAGUCACUACCACUUGCCUUGAGUUAUGUGUUUCUUGGUUCACCGUCGCCGCUCAUUACCGCGCUCACCAAUGUCAAAGAAAUUGUGUGCUCUCUCCCGACCGCUUCUCUGCUCUGCUGUGAAGCAUCAAGGUUUCCGAUGAGUCAAAGCAUCGAUCUCUAACAAGCGAGAGAGAAAUAGA
Molecule: non-coding RNA, 1099 nt
Organism: Arachis ipaensis
Lineage: Eukaryota; Viridiplantae; Streptophyta; Magnoliopsida; Fabales; Fabaceae
Source: RefSeq, a predicted model, not a curated record